GGGGUUGUGGCUCAGUGGUAGAGCGCUUGCCUAGCAUGCGUGAGGCACUGGGUUGGUUACCAGGCAUCACAUAAAAAUAAACAAAUAAAAUAAAGGUAUUGUGUCCAUCUACAACCCAAAAAAAUCUUUAAAAAAAUAUUUAGGGCUGGGGUUGCAGCUCAGCAUGUGUGAGGCACUGGGUUUGAUCCUCAGCACCACG
This 199-nucleotide transfer RNA is filed under the name Marmota monax (woodchuck). RNAcentral's name for it is "tRNA.Ala". The record is from RNAcentral. Lineage: Eukaryota; Metazoa; Chordata; Mammalia; Rodentia; Sciuridae.